GAUUAACGCUGGCGGCGUGCAUAACACAUGCAAGUCGAACGAUGAAACUUAACUGAUUUCUUCGGAAUGAUUUUAAGUGGAUUAGUGGCGGACGGGUGAGUAACGCGUGAGUAACCUGCCUUGGAGAAGGGGAUAGCCUUUGGAAACGAAGAAUAAUACCCUAUGAUAUGAUAAUAUCUCAUGAUAUUAUCAUCAAAGAUUUAUCGCUCUAAGAUGGACUUGCGUCUGAUUAGUUAGUUGGUGAGGUAACAGCUCACCAAGGCAGCGAUCAGUAGCCGGCUUGAGAGAGUGUACGGCACCAUUGGGACUGAGACACGGCCCAGACUCCUACGGGAGGCAGCAGUGGGGAAUUUUGCACAAUGGGGGAAACCCUGAUGCAGCGACGCCGGGUGAUUUAGAAGGCCUUCGGGUUGUAAAAAUCUUUUGUAUGGGAAGAAAAUGACAGUACCAUACGAAUAAGAACCGGCUAAUUACGUG
This 477-nucleotide ribosomal RNA is filed under the name uncultured bacterium. RNAcentral's name for it is "partial 16S ribosomal RNA". It matches the Rfam family "Bacterial small subunit ribosomal RNA", at positions 28 to 507 of the family's 1533-position model. The record is from RNAcentral.